RNAcentral lists this ribosomal RNA (478 nucleotides) under uncultured bacterium. RNAcentral's name for it is "partial 16S ribosomal RNA". It matches the Rfam family "Bacterial small subunit ribosomal RNA", at positions 28 to 506 of the family's 1533-position model. The record is from RNAcentral.
GAUGAACGCUGGCGGCGUGCUUAACACAUGCAAGUCGAGCGAGAAGUUUUGAAAAGAUUCUUCGGAUGAAAUUUAAAAUGGAAAGCGGCGGACGGGUGAGUAACGCGUAGGCAACCUGCCCCAUACAAAGGGAUAGCAUUUGGAAACGAAUAUUAAUACCUUAUGAAACUUAACUAGUGCAUGCUAGGUAGGUCAAAGAUUUAUCGGUAUGGGAUGGGCCUGCGUCUGAUUAGCUAGUUGGUGAGGUAACGGCUCACCAAGGCGACGAUCAGUAGCCGACCUGAGAGGGUGAACGGCCACAUUGGAACUGAGACACGGUCCAAACUCCUACGGGAAGCAGCAGUGGGGAAUAUUGCACAAUGGGGGAAACCCUGAUGCAGCAACGCCGCGUGAACGAUGAAGGCCUUUGGGUCGUAAAGUUCUGUUCUAGGUGAUGAAAACUGACAGUAACCUAGGAGAAAGCCCCGGCUAACUCCGU